UGCCUCGUCGGCCGCUUUCGUGCUCGACUGCACCGUCUAGGAGAGAGAGAAUCACGCCGCCCGGCACCACCCAAACAGGACCGGCGCGAUCGGCAGCUGCAAUGGAGUCCUCCUCGCCCGCAGCGGCACAUCGGAUGCACCUGGACCUCUCACCGCCGCCACCGGGGGUCUGCUACCAGCGCGUCUUUUUAUUCACUAGCUGUGCCAUGUGUGCUUCCCGAAAGCGACGUCGCCGACGCGACCGGCGUUGAACGCUUCCGCUGCCUAGCGUCGUCCCCAGAGCCUGCGCGUCUUGAUUGUACUGUGCGCGCCGGAGUACGAAGCGCGCGUUUCAAAAAGAAGUCUUCUUCUCGAGGCGACGGUCGUGGUGCCCACUUCCGAGGCGAAGCUCUACGUCAACUCUCCUCGUCCACUGCAGCGAGUGGCUGCGACAUGGCAGCUCGAGCGGUUGCUGGUGGACUCUUCGAUUAGACCGGCGCUAGCCUUUGGUCAUGCAUCGCGAGGCGUCACCGGCCGAUCAUGAUCGACCCCAAGGUGUUCGUCGCAUUGCUCGUGCUAUCCACGGCGUUCAUCGUUGCUGCCAUCGUGGGCGCAGUUUGCUUUCUAUGCCGUGUCCUCAAGAAGGAUUCUCGCAGGAGGCUCAAGGACGACUAUGUCAUCGUACUUGAUGGUACGGAACCGCCACCUCCGUAUACCUGGAGGAGUGUGCGUUCGGAUGGACGUCGUCAAUAAAUAGUCUUCUUCUCUUCUC
Rhipicephalus sanguineus (brown dog tick) is the source of this 751-nucleotide long non-coding RNA. RefSeq lists it as uncharacterized. NCBI's taxonomy places the organism in Eukaryota, Metazoa, Arthropoda, Arachnida, Ixodida, Ixodidae. The record is from RefSeq and is a predicted model, not a curated record. The transcript has 3 exons.